This 458-nucleotide ribosomal RNA is filed under the name uncultured Desulfobulbus sp. Its description in RNAcentral is "bacterial SSU rRNA". It matches the Rfam family "Bacterial small subunit ribosomal RNA", at positions 924 to 1382 of the family's 1533-position model. Lineage: Bacteria; Pseudomonadati; Thermodesulfobacteriota; Desulfobulbia; Desulfobulbales; Desulfobulbaceae. The record is from RNAcentral.
GACAAGCGGUGGAGCAUGUGGUUUAAUUCGAAGCAACGCGAAGAACCUUACCAGGCCUUGACAUGCAGAGAACUUUCCAGAGAUGGAUUGGUGCCUUCGGGAACUCUGACACAGGUGCUGCAUGGCUGUCGUCAGCCCGUGUCGUGAGAUGUUGGGUUAAGUCCCGUAACGAGCGCAACCCUUGCCUUUAGUUGCCAGCAGUUCGGCUGGGCACUCUAAAGGGACUGCCGGUGUUAAACCGGAGGAAGGUGGGGAUGACGUCAAGUCCUCAUGGCCUUUAUGACCAGGGCUACACACGUACUACAAUGGCCGAUACAAAGGGCAGCGACACUGCGAGGUGAAGCCAAUCCCGUAAAAUCGGUCUCAGUCCGGAUUGGAGUCUGCAACUCGACUCCAUGAAGUUGGAAUCGCUAGUAAUCGUGGAUCAGCAUGCCACGGUGAAUACGUUCCCGGGCCUU